CUCUAAUCGGACCCACAUGGCUGGGGAGGGCUGCACGCCCCCCACCUUGAUCUGCGCCAGCUCGCUCUUUCAUUCUCCUACCGGCCGGAAUCCGAAGCAGCUCUGAAUGGCCUCAACCACCCACCCAGACCUCCAGCAGCCAGGAAGCAGAGGGUGGAUGGAAGCAAGAGAACCCCUCUAUUCAUCAACCCGGUGCCUGCCAAGAGCCGCAGGGCCCACCUAAGUCCGAGGGUCAAGAAAACCAACAGUCCUUACAAGGCCUGCAGGAACAGCCAUCUGCUCCAGGGCCAUAGAAAGACAGUCCAGACCGAGGAGCUGGAUUCCAUCAGGAUGGAACUGAGUCAGAUCAAAGCCCAGGUGGACAGCCUAUUGGAGAGUCUGGAGUCCAUGGAGCAGCAGAGGCACCAGCACACAGGUGAAGAAUCAAGCAUUGGACCCGGAUAGCCCAGAGGUGGGGACCCUUCCAGGCUC
This 471-nucleotide long non-coding RNA is filed under the name Cricetulus griseus (Chinese hamster). RNAcentral describes it as "lncRNA (ENSCGRG00015029524.1)". Lineage: Eukaryota; Metazoa; Chordata; Mammalia; Rodentia; Cricetidae. The record is from RNAcentral.